CACGUAGGGGGCAAGCGUUGCUCGGAAUUACUGGGCGUAAAGUGUGCGCAGGUGGCUUCGCAAGUCGAGUGUGAAAUCCCCGGGCUUAACCUGGGAAUUGCGCUCGAAACUACGGAGCUGGAGUAUGGCAGAGGGAGGUGGAAUUCCACGUGUAGCGGUGAAAUGCGUAGAGAUGUGGAGGAACACCAAUGGCGAAGGCAGCCUCCUGGGCCAAUACUGACACUCAUGCACGAAAGCGUGGGGAGCAAACAGG
This 253-nucleotide ribosomal RNA is filed under the name uncultured bacterium. RNAcentral describes it as "partial 16S ribosomal RNA". It matches the Rfam family "Bacterial small subunit ribosomal RNA", at positions 524 to 776 of the family's 1533-position model. The record is from RNAcentral.